UAAAGACAGCUCAGCAACAACAAGCACAUCCAGCCUUCCAUCAAACUUCAAAGGGUUUGGAUUCUUCAACAGAUAGAUCCUCUCGAGAAGGAGGAGAUGAUGGACACUAUCCAGCCACAUACAUCCCCCUAUUAAUGACGAUGACGAAGCCUUGGAUUCGAGGACAAAUCCUUUUUCAAGAGGGAGGGGAUGAUGGAAGAGGCCCUGGCACCAAUCCACUAAUAGGCCACCAAAAUGUCAAAUUGAGGCAACCACUAGAGUUAUGGUCAAAGAGGGGUCAAGAGGAUACAUUUUACAUGUCAUAAACUCUAGUGUAGAAUAGUUUUUACAUUUUUGUCAAAAGUAACAUAGUUUAAUUCUUUUGUAUUUUUGUUGAAACAUGCAAAGUGGUACCUAAAAUGCUAACCUAAGUUUAAUUAGAGUUUCCUACUCCUAAUUAAACUUAGGUCCAACCCACAUUUAGCCUAAGUGGAGCGUAAGGUUCUAGAUCUCCUAGCACAUGGAAGAAUUCUAGAACCUACCUCACAUGUGCUGAAUUUAGGAGUCACCUUCCCAUGUGCCAACAUUUGAAUUUCCCUCCAAUUCUCUUUUCAUAUUCAGCCUUCUCUUGCUAUAUAUAGAGGAGCUUGGGUCAUGUAAAUUCAAGAUUAAUACUUUAGUGAAUUGCUGCCAAAAUUGUGUCAAUUUCACUUCUUGCCCAAAACCUCCUAGGUUAGGCUUUUAAUCUUCGCAAACUUUCCCUUUCCAAGUAGAGUUGGCCUCACCACUCUCAAAUCCUACCUCUCAUGCACCUUCAAGGUCACCAUCACUCUUAGGAGGACCUUGUUCCAUCUUCAAUCCGUGAAGCUUCCGCAACUCAUCAAGAAAUCCGAAAAUAUGAAGGCACAUCUCCAUCAAAGUCUUUCCUAGCCAUAACUUAUCUCAAUGCACUUCACAAAUCUCCUUCAAAUGAAAACUUCUUCAACACAAACAAAGAGUUUUCUAAAGAAAGAAACUAAAAGAAAGCUUUUAAAAACUAAGAAUUUAAAUUGCAAAAAUUUAAACAAGACGACUCCUAAUGGUGAGGCUUGUUGGCACUUAUGAACCUUCAAGCCACACUCACCGUCUAAAGCGUGUAUCUAAUAAGAAAAUUAAAGAAAUUUGUAAGAGAUGGAAGAACACCAAAGGCUCUUCCAGGACACCUAAAGUAAAGAUAAUGGCCAAAUUACAAAACAAUUGAAAUCACACAAAAUUUUAAAAAAUAAUAUUCAAAGUUCUUUUCUGUUCUGUUCUCUCACAAGUGUUUCUCUGCAAGCCUUUACUUGUUUGUCCUCCAAAGGUGAGUACCUCUUGCAAAGUCCUUUGCCUUCUCUUAGGAUGCUACCUAGAAAUUAGCUCAAUUUUCACAAAGAACAAAUUCAAGGUAUAUUACACUUCAAGAGGUUAAUAAUAAAAGUAAUAAAAGUUCAAUUUGAAGAGUGAAACUCAAAGGAGAUUAGAGAUGACAAACACAAAGAUUAUCUCAAGACAAGCAAGAAAUUAAAGGUUUUCAAGAAAGCACUCAAAAGAAAACACCUAAAGAUAGACACUAAAAUGGAUUACAAAAUUAAAAUAAAGAAUGACCAAAUUUCUUAGUAAAGCAUGAAAUCCAAAAUGUUGCUGGUCCCAUGUAGAUUGGUCCAAAGAAUUCAAUUCCCGCAAGUCCCGCGCUAAAGAAUCUCCAAUUGCCAAAUUUCUCACCAAAAUUUAGGCUCCCUUAUUCAACAAAUUGAAUUUAACUUUAAAGAAUGGGUCCCACAGUGUGAUUGCAAAUUCCAAUAACUGCCAAUACACACUUCUAAUUACUCAACACAACCAAUUUUUUUAGUUAAAAGCACCUACAAUCACGCUUUCAGCACACGCUUCAGCUUUCACCAAUUUAGCUUAUACAUUUGCUUUCACUGAUUCUACUUUAAUUUCUUCAAUUAAUUGCGCACCUUGCUAGUACUUAAUUCACGCUGCACCUUCGACACACCAUUUCUCAUCAAAUUCUUCAAAUUCACGGACCCCACAAUUCACUGCAUCAGCUUCAAUCAAUUUGCAAUUCACAAAUUGAAUUCAAAUGCAGACAUACUCCUUUUUUAAAUUAAAAACUGCACCAAAAUGAUCAACAAUUUCAACCAAUUUGCAAUUCAAGAUGAUCACUGCACCAACAAAAACUAGAAAAUUGCAACUGCAGAAAAUUUGUCACCGUUUGAAUUCAAUCUCACAAUUUAUUUUUUAAAUACCAAUUCUAAUCACCAAUUCUCGGUCCAUCACUUCACGAAUAGCUCCUUCAAUACUUUUAUCAAACAGUUGACACACACACCUUAAUGCAUUAAACACUUGCACUCAACACCAAAUUCAUGCAAUCCAAAUCAUUUCGUGGCACAACUCAGAGCUUCAAUCAUGGUGGAUUGCACUCGUGAAGCCAAAUUUUGGAACAGAUCCACCUUAAUUGUUCUUCCGUUUCCAAACGAUUCUCAAUCAAUCAACCAAUUUCAUUCGCCAAUAAUUUCCAGAACCGUAAAUUCAGAAUUUCAAGGAGAACCGCACAACUAUUUUACUGAUAUUCAGCUGCACCGUUAAAUUGAUUAAGUGCAAAACUUCAAUUGCUAUGCUCACUGAAUAUAUCAAGCGUGUAAACUGUUUGUUAGAAAGCUUCAAAGAAAUUUUAAUUUGUAGAAAAUACAAGAAUUGAUUCUAAUCAGAAUUUUUUUUGAAACAUCUUUAUCAAAUGAAUUAAACUUUCAAACUCAGUGUAAUGCCGAAUUCAUCUGAUUUUUCAUAUGUAUGAAUUGUACCUUUUAAUCACGAAUAAACAAUUCCAGCAAAUGCUCAAUCGGUACAUCAGCAGAAAUUCUUCAGCGCCUUUCAAAUCGCGAUUCACUCAUUCGUCACUGCUUUGCUUCAUCAAAUUAAACCCGAUCAAGAUCAAUGUUUUGCUUCGAAAUCAACAUCUACUUCAGUCAUCUUCAACAUUUCGCCAGAAUGUGAAACUUAAUCCGCGAACGAUUAUAAUUCCUUUGAGAAUGCUCUUCGUUUGAGAUGACGAAGUUAAUCGGUCAGUUCUCCGUGCACUGAUUCUGUUUGUCGGAAAACCACUAAAACCUAUGUUCGCGAUUCUUCCAACACCUCAAUGUUUCUCCGUUUUGCUUCUUCACAGUUGCUCCAGGAAAACGAAGAACAAUGAACGCAAAAGGCAGAACCAAAAUUUUCGGAAUCGGAAUUGAAAGCAGAAGAAGAACUUACAUGAACCAAUUCCGACUAAGCACGAAAGGAACCGAAACUUUAGAUUCUGUUUUCUGACUUCCUAUUCCAGAUUCAAAUUCUCCUCCGGCGCCGUUCGCAGUUGAAGACGAAAUCAUACUCCCGAAGUCUUGUAGUGCGAAAACUGUGGAAGCGUCGCGCACCAAUUUCACUCACACUGGACUUGUUCCGAUUCCAAUUUCAUGAACACUCAGAAGAUGAAGAACAGCAACACAAAUCGCAGAGAAAAUUUGAGGAAAAUCUGAAAAUCUAAACCAAAUCUGCUAUUGGCAGCGCAGAUCCAACAAUUUUCAUAAACAGUUCACAUUACUGCUCACACCACUUGAUUUUCUUUUUGAACCACGAAAAAUUUUCGGACAAAUUUCGAGAACUUUCGAAAAUGAUUUUUGAAGAGAAUGAUAAUGGAAAGCUAACUCAAAGAAAAUUGUUGAUGAUCUAGUAGCAAUUUAUG
This 3718-nucleotide long non-coding RNA is filed under the name Phaseolus vulgaris (common bean). RNAcentral's name for it is "long non-coding RNA (PVUL_LNC005070)". Lineage: Eukaryota; Viridiplantae; Streptophyta; Magnoliopsida; Fabales; Fabaceae. The record is from RNAcentral.